RNAcentral lists this transfer RNA (73 nucleotides) under Felis catus (domestic cat). It matches the Rfam family "tRNA". From Rfam's summary of the family: Transfer RNA (tRNA) molecules are approximately 80 nucleotides in length. Their secondary structure includes four short double-helical elements and three loops (D, anti-codon, and T loops). The record is from Rfam by way of RNAcentral. Lineage: Eukaryota; Metazoa; Chordata; Mammalia; Carnivora; Felidae.
GACUGUCUAGCUCAGUUGGAAGAGCAUGUGACUCUUGAUCUCAGAAUCAUGGGUUCAAGCCCCAUGUUGGGUA